CUACUAUCACUCUCCUCCCCCUCCAGUGAAAUCUCCCCCUCCUCCAUACUAUUAUCACUCACCACCCCCUCCGGUUAAGUCUCCACCACCACCAUACUACUACCAUUCACCACCCCCUCCGGUUAAAUCUCCACCACCACCAUACUACUAUCAUUCACCACCCCCUCCAGUCAAGUCUCCUCCUCCACCAUACCAUUACUCUUCACCACCACCUCCGGUUAAAUCCCCACCACCACCAUACGUCUACAGCUCUCCACCACCACCAGUAAAAUCUCCUCCACCUCCGGUCUACAUCUACGCUUCUCCCCCACCUCCCACACAUUACUAGGCUCUUCAAAUUCAACAAAAUUUCCCCAUUAUUCAAGUUUUCUUUUAAAAAAUGAAAUAAAGGAAGGGUCAAAGUCAAAGAGGAGAAGAAGUGAACCAAAUAAGGAUCGUCGCGUGGAAAUCAGAAAGGAUGCAUCUAUAACAACGAACCACAUCAUCACUUCGUCUUCUUCAAUGUCGCUCAUCUUCCACUUGUGCAUCAUUAUGAUCUUUGCAUCUUCAUCAAGUCAAAAUUGUUUACAAGACCCUUUUAGAUCGUAUCAUACUCUUCUAUGUUCACUUUUGUUGUUAAGUAAAAAAAAAGUGGGUUUUGGUAAUUUAAUUGUUGUGCAUACAUUUUCUAUUUUGUUAUUCUUGUAAUGAGAGAGUUGUUAGCAUAUAAAACAAAGUUCAGUUUCUUCUU
Camelina sativa (false flax) is the source of this 730-nucleotide non-coding RNA. NCBI's taxonomy places the organism in Eukaryota, Viridiplantae, Streptophyta, Magnoliopsida, Brassicales, Brassicaceae. The record is from RefSeq and is a predicted model, not a curated record.